This 598-nucleotide ribosomal RNA is filed under the name Triticum aestivum (bread wheat). RNAcentral describes it as "partial small subunit ribosomal RNA". Lineage: Eukaryota; Viridiplantae; Streptophyta; Magnoliopsida; Poales; Poaceae. The record is from RNAcentral.
CAACCUCAAGUCUCGUCGUCGACGUCGCACCUCCCAACUCUCUCGUUGUCGUCUCCUUCUCUUCUUCCUCGUCAUCGAACCCGCGUUCUUCUCGUCGUCCCCGCGUAUCCUUCCUCGUCGUCGUCUCCAUUCCCUCCUUCGUUCUCGUCGUCCGACCCCAAGUCUCUUCUAAUCCUCGUCGUUGAUCGUCACAACCCAAGUCUCUUCUUCACCGUCGUUGUUCAAUUCCAAGACUCGUCGUCGUUCCAAUCCUUUUCUCCUUCUUCGUGUCGUCGUCCUCAACACACUCUCUCUCCUCGUCGUUCCUCUACCUACCCGCCGCCGCACUCCACUACUCCGCCGCGACACCUACCGCCACCUACCUACCGCGUCCACUACCUACCUCCGCGUCCCGCUACCACCUCCACAACCACCGCGCGACCCCACGCCACCACGACCACUACCUACCGCGCGGCGGUGCGGCCGGACCGGCGCCGCCGCCGGCCUACACCUCUUCCUCCCUACUCCCUCUCUCUACACACGAUCCGAGUUUCCCCUUGCUUCCUCCGCCGAUCCCUAAAAUAGGGGAGGAGGCUAGACAGUGGAAAAAAAUUAAGCC